This 253-nucleotide ribosomal RNA is filed under the name uncultured bacterium. Its description in RNAcentral is "partial 16S ribosomal RNA". It matches the Rfam family "Bacterial small subunit ribosomal RNA", at positions 524 to 776 of the family's 1533-position model. The record is from RNAcentral.
UACGUAGGUGGCAAGCGUUGUCCGGAUUUACUGGGCGUAAAGAGCGCGCAGGCGGCUGAUUAAGUCGAAUGUGAAAGCCCCCGGCUCAACUGGGGAGGGUCAUUCGAUACUGAUCAACUUGAAGGCAGGAGAGAGAAGUGGAAUUCCUGGUGUAGCGGUGGAAUGCGCAGAUAUCAGGAGGAACACCGGUGGCGAAGGCGGGUCUCUGGGCAGUAACUGACGCUGAGGAGCGAAAGCGUGGGGAGCGAACAGG